Molecule: transfer RNA, 76 nt
Filed under: Candidatus Omnitrophota bacterium
Lineage: Bacteria; Pseudomonadati; Candidatus Omnitrophota
Also listed under: 1 other name
Description: Candidatus Omnitrophica bacterium tRNA-Arg
Rfam family: tRNA
About the family: Transfer RNA (tRNA) molecules are approximately 80 nucleotides in length. Their secondary structure includes four short double-helical elements and three loops (D, anti-codon, and T loops).
Source: RNAcentral
GUGCCAGUAGCUCAGCGGAUAGAGUAGCGGCCUACGAAGCCGUUGGUCGCAGGUUCGAAUCCUGCCUGGCACGCCA